RNAcentral lists this ribosomal RNA (119 nucleotides) under Pteropus alecto (black flying fox). The record is from RNAcentral. Lineage: Eukaryota; Metazoa; Chordata; Mammalia; Chiroptera; Pteropodidae.
GUCUACGGCCACGCCACCCUGAACGUGCCUGAUCCCGUGUGAUCUUGGAAGCCAAGCAGGGUCGGGCCUGGUUAGUACUUGGAUGAGAGACCACCUAGGAAGACCAGGUGCUCUAGAAA